Molecule: ribosomal RNA, 422 nt
Filed under: uncultured bacterium
Lineage: Bacteria
Description: bacterial SSU rRNA
Rfam family: Bacterial small subunit ribosomal RNA
Source: RNAcentral
UGAGGAAUAUUGGUCAAUGGGGGCAACCCUGAACCAGCCAAGUCGCGUGAAGGAUGAAGGUCUUAUGGAUUGUAAACUUCUUUUAUACAGGAAUAAAUUGGGGGACGUGUCCCCUUUUGCAUGUACUGUAUGAAUAAGGAUCGGCUAACUCCGUGCCAGCAGCCGCGGUAAUACGGAGGAUCCGAGCGUUAUCCGGAUUUAUUGGGUUUAAAGGGUGCGCAGGCGGGAUGUUAAGUCGGCGGUGAAAUUUUGCAGCUCAACUGUAAAAGUGCCUUCGAUACUGGACUCCUUGAGUGUGGAUGAANUAGGCGGAAUUUGUGGUGUAGCGGUGAAAUGCUUAGAUAUCACGAGGAACUCCGAUUGCGCAGGCAGCUUACUAAGCCACAACUGACGCUCAUGCACGAAGGCGUGGGGAUCAAACA